UUGAACGCUGGCGGCAUGCCUUACACAUGCAAGUCGAACGGCAGCACGGGUGCUUGCACCUGGUGGCGAGUGGCGAACGGGUGAGUAAUACAUCGGAACAUGUCCUGUAGUGGGGGAUAGCCCGGCGAAAGCCGGAUUAAUACCGCAUACGAUCCAUGGAUGAAAGCGGGGGACCUUCGGGCCUCGCGCUAUAGGGUUGGGCGAUGGCUGAUUAGCUAGUUGGUGGGGUAAAGGCCCACCAAGGCGCCGAUCAGUAGCUGGUCUGAGAGGACGACCAGCCACACUGGGACUGAGACACGGCCCAGACUCCUACGGGAGGCAGCAGUGGGGAAUUUUGGACAAUGGGCGAAAGCCUGAUCCAGCAAUGCCGCGUGUGUGAAGAAGGCCUUCGGGUUGUAAAGCACUUUUGUCCGGAAAGAAAUCCUGAGGGCUAAUAUCCUUCGGGGAUGACGGUACCGGAAGAAUAAGCACCGGCUAACUACGUGCCAGCCGCCGCCGUAA
Molecule: ribosomal RNA, 501 nt
Filed under: uncultured bacterium
Lineage: Bacteria
Description: partial 16S ribosomal RNA
Rfam family: Bacterial small subunit ribosomal RNA
Source: RNAcentral